UACAGAGGGGGCAAGCGUUGUUCGGAAUUACUGGGCGUAAAGGGCGCGUAGGCGGCCUGCUAAGUCGAACGUGAAAUCCCUGGGCUCAACCCAGGAACUGCGUCCGAUACUGGUUGGCUUGAAUCCGGGAGAGGGAUGUGGAAUUCCAGGUGUAGCGGUGAAAUGCGUAGAGAUCGGGAGGAACACCUGCGGCGAAGGCGGGUUGCUGGGCUGACACUGACGCUGAAGCGCGAAAGCUAGGGGAGCGAACGGG
This 253-nucleotide ribosomal RNA is filed under the name uncultured bacterium. RNAcentral describes it as "partial 16S ribosomal RNA". It matches the Rfam family "Bacterial small subunit ribosomal RNA", at positions 524 to 776 of the family's 1533-position model. The record is from RNAcentral.